Gallus gallus (chicken) is the source of this 6267-nucleotide long non-coding RNA. RefSeq lists it as uncharacterized. The transcript is spliced from 2 exons. Lineage: Eukaryota; Metazoa; Chordata; Aves; Galliformes; Phasianidae. The record is from RefSeq and is a predicted model, not a curated record.
CUCCAUGAUCCUUGUGGGUCCCUUCCAACUUGGGAUAUUUUAUGAUUCUGUGUUUUCUAAAAUGAGGUCCAGAGUCUCAAAUAUUUCACCUGAACAAUGAAACAGUACUUCUAAACUUACCCAGCAGGACAAGUUUAGAGAUACGGACCUACAGAUAGCAAUGAUAUUGCUUGCAAGGAUCUGUUUUUAUGGAUGUCGGGUAGAAAACUUAUGUGAGUGCAUACAAUAUGAAAGGGGAGGAUAAGAAGAUGGGCCACUAUAGAAAAAAAAAAUUAGAAAAAAAUUCUCUCAAGCAGUAAAACGCAUCCUCUGGGUAAGGGGAUGCUGUGCUCCCAAAAGCUGAAAUAGAGCAAAAAAGGGCACAGCCCAAACACCCAGAAGAUGCUUUCCAGGAGCAGGCUUGGUACCAGAGGGAGAAGCACAAGGCCGCAGAGCAAAGGUCCCCACAGCCUCUGUGCCUCUGCUGGGUUGUGGAUGGGAGGACACCUCCUGUCACCCAGGCCCCAUGUCCUUCGUGUCCCCAUCGCUCACACAUGAGCAGUUUAUGCCCCCACAUCAUUACAUAAAACACUUCUUUCAGGCGAGUAGAAACUACAUAACAAAAGGAGGCUUUCCCCUGGAGACUCCCACUGAGUCACAAGAACGCAAAAAAAUAACUGCUAGGAAAGCCAGACUGCAUAUCCCCUCCUCAUCACCAAGCGGCUUGCAGCCCUCAGCCCCCCAGCUUACCAUCAGAAAGUCCAGCACUGGAUUUCUAAACUUUCUGACGGCUUUUCUCUUUGACAGCCAAACAAAAGUUGCAGCAGAGCACUCUCUUUCCCCACUUGUCACUUUUACUGUCUAAAUUACAAAUGCCUCUGCAAUGUGAUGCCUUCGCACAGACCCUGUUGUGAGCUGUGAGCAUUAUUUAAAACUCUGGUGAAGCUUUCUCGCUUGGCACAAGGAGUCUCCUGAUGGAUGUUGCAAGAGCUCUGUUCAUUUGGAGUUUUUAAGCACUUCCAGCAAAGCAGCUCAGUCACUUUUGCCAAUGAUACAGGGUACCCCAUCUGUGCCAAUCUCAUUUGUCUAAUUUAGAUCAAUCCAGUUAACUAGUAUUACUCACUGUCACGCCUGCAAGAGAUUUCCCUGGUUCUUCAGCUGCAUCAGAGCACUGAGCAGGAGGACACCCAGUGGCACACCAGGGUUUUCAGCAUCACAUCGAAGAAUAAGCAGGUCUACAUUCAUCAGCAUCAGGGUCAUUAUUAAUUAUUAAUGGUGCUAAUUCACAGCCAAGAAAUCCCUGAUUUGUGCUGGCAGGCCGCUCAGCGCUGUGAUAUUAUGAGCCUACAUGUAAGCGCAGUGCCCAUCACUCAUCAGGCUGUUGGGAAGGGAAGCUGAGGAGCACUAACAGGGCUAUCUAACCUCACUGCUUGGAAACUUCACCACUCCUAAUGUCUUCUCUUUUGUGACAAUAAAAUGGCUGUAGGCAUUAAAUAUGUAUAAAGUUUAUAUAUAUACAUUACCGAUAGAGCAUAAACACGUUAUUUUUAUUUCAUUUAUUAAAUCUUAAUGCUUUUUAAAAUUAUUCUUUCCCCGUACAGUCAGGUUACAGAGCAGAUCUGUUAGGACAGUUUAGAAGGAUUUUUGUCAUGGAUUUAGACAAAUUGCUGCUUUUCACUACAGCUGCAAUUUAGAUGCCUGAAGCAAUGAACCCCUCUCUGCUCCCAACACACACCUGCCUACCGAGAGAGGUUAAAUCACUUCCUUGUAAUGCCAGCUUUGUAUUUUUAAGCUGAUGCCUUUGAUCACCUUCAGCAUUUGAAGACUGUCAUGACUAGCAAUUACAGUGAAAUCUGUAUAAGUCUGAAGCAGACCUAUUAAAAAAAAAGACCACAGGCAAAACUCGGUCAGGUUUCUGCUGAGCUCCGUGCUCCACACUGCCUUCCACCUCUCGAGAUGUAGACGUGGCCAGCAGACAUGGCACCAGUACCAUUUACUCCUGCCCUCCUCAGCAGCCUGCAGCAUGCAUGCCAGCCCUGGUGGCACCUCCUCUUCAGCAUCACGCUGUCUGAGAGUCAGGUGUGUGGGGAAUAAACAGUUCAUAUCAUAUUACAAAGUCUGGUCUAUAAACACACUAUGAGCUACUCUUCUGCUAAAAACUGUGAGUAAAGAGAUGUGGUUUCUUUUGUCUUUUAUUUGUCGUGGCUUUUUUUUUUUUUAACCUUAUCAAAUACAGUAACAUGAGAAAGGCCAAUAAACAUCAGGCUUUCCUAGGAAGGCACGCAAGGCAAAUGCAGUGAUACUAACCAGGAAGAGAAAAGUUACUUGUGAGCAUGACUGUAUGCAUGGGAGAAGAGAAGAGCAUGUUUGCCAGUUCUGCUUUGUUAUUCAGCUUUGGUCAUAGACCAAGGCAAACAAGGGGUAGGCAGUGAUAGGUAAGGAAUAUCAGUGCAGGAGGUCCUCUGUAGAAGCAGUUAGGGAUAGAAAGGCAACUAAGUUUUAGUGACUUCGUAGGACCAGCACCGCUGUGACUCAGCUUCUGCUUCAGUCUCUACCCUGUCCCCAUGCCAAGACAACAGUGCUGGUAUCAGCAAACAAAAGCUAACUCUACAAUGUUUAUGUAUGCCUCGUGUGUGAUAUAGAUACCUGUGAGCAGAAAACUGAUUAUUUGUUUGUAAAUUGAAAUAUAUAAGAACAGUUCAGUGCUCUGAGAAAGAGGCCAGGGAAACCAUAAGCAGGCCUAACAUCUACAAAGUGACAGUAUUAGCAAAGAGCAACAAGAGAGUGUAUGCUUUCAAGAGUUCACUUGAGGAAAAAACAGCAGGACCAAUGGGGAUAACAGUAUUUUUAUUUUCCAUGACAGCAAGGCAGUCAACUAUAGAUGUGCUAAUAUUCAUAACAUUUAUUCUUGAUAUUUACAUAAUCUGCAAGACGUCUAUUCCAAUAGCAGGAAAAAAGUGGCUUUCUCUCUUAAAAAAUAAGUUUAAUUUCUUUUUUUUUUUUUCCUUUAAGUAGGUGGAUGGAUCUACUUCUUUUGGCAGAAGGGAAGGAAAGAAAACAAAAUAUUUCCUCCGAGUUCUCUUCAUGCAAAAUCUUAAGUAGAUGUCCAUGGAUUUUAUAAAUCCCUUUAAAAUAACAAUUCCGCAGUCUAUGCCUUUGUACUGCCAACCAAGAAAGUAGGACUUCACACAGUUAUUUAUAUGCAAAAAGCUAGUUUUCAUUUCAAACAUAGGAAAAUUUGACAUACAAACGUUUAGACGCUAAUGAAUAUAUCAUUAUUCAAAUCCAUUCCAAAUCUAAUUCCGUACAGCAGUUACAAAAUUAGCUAAGGAAUUAUCUACAAAUUAGGUAUUUUCUUCAUUCAUCUAAUAGCAAACUGCAAAUGAAAAUAGAAGUUAAGAUCUACAUCAAUUUCUAAACAAGCACCUUAACCUGAAAAGCAGUGAGAAAGGAGAUUGUCUAAUUGAUUUUUCUUGAACUUUCCUGACGAUAAAGAGAUUAACUGCCAGACAUAAAAAUACUGUCACCUGAGAUUGUAAGCAGAUAUGCAAUUUAGACAGCACUCGCUGCACAAAGAAUUGUACCCAUUCAAAUUGGUUCAAGUUACUAGCACAGAUGUAUAUACCAUCUUAAACCUUGCUUCAAUGGUUUUUAUAUUAACAGUGAAAGAUAUUUUCACAAAAACUGAUUUAACUGGUGUAAGAAAUAGUGUCAAAUUACUAACUGUUCUUACUACAGAUACACACUGAUGACAGUUUUCCAAUAUAUUUAUAAAUAUAUACACUUAAGUAGAAAAAAGCAUGCCAAUGGAUACACAAAGAUUCACUGAAAAUGCAUAAAAGCAGAAGAACCAUAUAAAUAAAUUGUAUUUGUUAAUAACUGUUUUUUAAUAGUCUGAACAAAUCUAGUUUAUUUUAAAAACUAAUUACUCAGGUGUCCAAGGCACAAUGAUGAAAAGAAAAUUAUCAUUAUUACCUGAUAUGUAACAAAGGUCCUUUAAAAGUGGUUAGUGCUUUCUUUGCAUUCUUUGGUUUGAACUCUGUUUUGUCAUUUUCCUCUGACUUGGAAAUUUGUUCUACAGAAUUCAUCUGAGUAAAAAUGAUGGUUAUAAUGAUUAACUCGGAGUCUCGGUUACACCACACACUACAGAUUCAUGCAGGUACUUAAAAGAAUAUGAGGAGGCUUAUUUCAAUAGUUUACAUUUUACAGACAAAAUUUAAUGUGUAUUCAUUCCUUGAAGAUUCUAGAAGCCCAUCACAUAAAAAAAAUGUAUUGUAAGUUGUGCAUUUUUAAUAUAUAACAUUAUACUACACUUUUUUUUUGCCUUUUUUUCUCCCCCUCCCAUAUAUUUUCCUGAUGCCUGAGUUGGUUGUUUCUGUAGACACCAGAUAAGCAAGCUGUGGUAUUUCUAAUACCAGUUUAGGAAGUACUGACGUUACACUUUCACUGCAAGUUUCCAAGUGACACCCCAGUAUAAUCAUUGCAACACUGAACAGAAAACACAGUAACAGCUCUGCAUUUCAUUGCAUUAAAAACUCGCUGAAUGUAUUGUUAUUUCUUUUAAACUGAUCUCUGAAGUAUUGGAGAGCUCCAAUAACAGAACUUAGGUUCUGAGGUUUUUCCUCUGUUACGUUAAGAAACUACAUACAAGUCAACAAGUAUGCUGGAUGUCCACCUCAUAAUUCUAUAGAGUUCUUUAUUCUCAGUAAAAUGCAAAAUGGAGGAAAAAAUACAGAGAAUUGGAAAAAUAAGUGGCAUGAUGACUUGAAAAAAAAAUCAGCUAGCUAAACAGUUUGCUUAGCUUUGUGUUUAUUCUACUUGAAACAGUGACAGAAGAUAGGAAGAGUAUUCAGUUUAUGUAAAUUAUCUGAAGUAUGGGAAUUGAAGAAAUACAGUAUCAUAGAAAAUAGAUUUCUGUAAAAAAAACAAAACCAAAACACCUCAGACACAGUAAUUUCACUUUUUGUAACUGCAGUUUAAGAAGAAGAUUAUUGUAUAAAUACACUGCAUAGUCAGUGUGUUUGGAUUUAUUCUACAUAACUCCGAUUUAAAUUACCAGAAAAAGAAAAUAUUACAGCAGUACCCACUGAAGGUGGAAUCUCACGUGCCAAAUACAGGUGUCUACAGAAAAGGCACUUACAAUUAAGUUUAUUGCUCAUGGUUCCCUCUACUCUGUGGAAAGAAAAAGGCACUUCUAUGGGAUGAGAGGAGGGAUACAUAAAAAUAAAUCAGAGGAAUUCUUAGUGAUUACAAAAACCUACAAAUAAUGCAAAUAAAUACUAGUAACACAGUAAAUAAUAAUGAAAUCUCACAGGUCACUUGCAACCUAUCACUUCAGAAGUUGGCCUUAAUAAAAAAUAUUCAAUAAGUUAUAUUUAUGAACAGUGAAGUACAAAAUAACUUCUUUUAAAAUGCCAACCAUUCAUAGAAUAAGGAACAGUUUCUAGAAAACAUUUUGGAAGAAGUUCAACAUAGAAGGGGCAAACAUUGACAUACUAUCUGUGUUAGAAAUGGCAAGUGUUAUUUUUAUGUGAACAGAAAGCGUACUGAAGCAAGACAGCUGACUUUUCUUUUCCUUGAACAGGAACAGUGACAACAAUGGGAUACACCCUGAAUUUUAGAAGUACGUUAAAGACUGGAUAUUAAACAUCUCUUUAAGUUAACGAUGCAUGAGUAAAAAUGAUCAGCUUAAUUCAAAAGAUUGAGUAGUAGCUUGAUUAUGCUGUAGGAAAUAGAAAAUACCAUAAAACAUUAUUUUUAAAUACUGAAAAAGUACAGUAAGUAGAAAUCUGAAAUAAAACAAGCAAUUAAAUUAUAUAUUGAGGCAGUUCAGCAUCAAAGCUAACCUUCAUACUAAACAGUGAUUAUGUUCCUGUAUCUGAGAAUCACAUCUUAGCAAAUGUGCCACAACCAAAACAAGUUAGUCUACCUGUUGUGAAGUUAGAAUAGCCAUGUAAUGCCUCCUUCUGACCCUAAACUCAGAUAUAUAAAUAAAAAAAUAAAUCUAUUUAUAUAAAUAAACUUAUAUAAAUAGAUGGCCAAGAUGCAAGUGGGCACUGUAAAGUCAGCCAUGUUUCAAAUUAUUCUGAUGAAAAUUUAAAACAGCAAAUGGAAACAAAAAUGUUAAAGAGUUUUACUACUUUAAACAAAAGCUUUACAAUUCAUAAUCCAAAACGAAGUGUGGCACUGGUGAAUGAAUUUCACAUUUUUUUUUUCUUUCCCUUCCCUGUCCUUUAUAAAAACAAUGUCCCCACUGACUAUGAUUGCAUAUUCUGAGGUAUAACUUCA